UGUGUAGGCGGCUAUGUAAGCGCGUUGUGAAAUCCCCCGGCUUAACCGAGGAACUGCUUCGCGUACUGCAUAGCUUGAGGCAGGUAUGGGUGCGGGGAACUGUUGGUGGAGCGGUGGAAUGCGUAGAUAUCAACAGGAACGCCGGUGGUGAAGACGCUGCACUGGGCCUGAUCUGACGCUGAGACACGAAAGCGUGGGGAUAAAACGGGAUUAGAUACCCCGGUAUUCCAACGCCCUAAACGAUGUCUACUAGGCUGGGGGAGGUUCUGACGCCGCCCUGGCCGAAGCAAAGUGUUAAGUACGACCGCCGUGGGGAGUACGGUCGCAAGGCUAAA
This 335-nucleotide ribosomal RNA is filed under the name uncultured bacterium. Its description in RNAcentral is "bacterial SSU rRNA". It matches the Rfam family "Bacterial small subunit ribosomal RNA", at positions 568 to 898 of the family's 1533-position model. The record is from RNAcentral.